AGCGAACGCUGGCGGCAGGCUUAACACAUGCAAGUCGAGCGGGCGUAGCAAUACGUCAGCGGCAGACGGGUGAGUAACGCGUGGGAACGUACCUUUUGGUUCGGAACAACACAGGGAAACUUGUGCUAAUACCGGAUAAGCCCUUACGGGGAAAGAUUUAUCGCCGAAAGAUCGGCCCGCGUCUGAUUAGCUAGUUGGUGAGGUAACGGCUCACCAAGGCGACGAUCAGUAGCUGGUCUGAGAGGACGAUCAGCCACACUGGAACUGAGAUACGGUCCAGACUCCUACGGGAGGCAGCAGUGGGGAAUAUUGGACAAUGGGCGAAAGCCUGAUCCAGCAAUGCCGCGUGAGUGAAGAAGGCCUUAGGGUUGUAAAGCUCUUUUAGUAAGGAAAAUAAUGAUGGUACUUACAGAAAAGACACCGGCUAACUCCGUG
RNAcentral lists this ribosomal RNA (435 nucleotides) under uncultured bacterium. RNAcentral's name for it is "bacterial SSU rRNA". It matches the Rfam family "Bacterial small subunit ribosomal RNA", at positions 29 to 507 of the family's 1533-position model. The record is from RNAcentral.